RNAcentral lists this ribosomal RNA (253 nucleotides) under uncultured prokaryote. RNAcentral describes it as "partial 16S ribosomal RNA". It matches the Rfam family "Bacterial small subunit ribosomal RNA", at positions 525 to 777 of the family's 1533-position model. The record is from RNAcentral.
ACGAAGGGUGCAAGCGUUACUCGGAAUUACUGGGCGUAAAGCGUGCGUAGGUGGUUUGUUAAGUCUGAUGUGAAAGCCCUGGGCUCAACCUGGGAACUGCAUUGGAUACUGGCUUACUAGAGUGCGGUAGAGGGUAGUGGAAUUCCACGUGUAGCAGUGAAAUGCGUAGAUAUGUGGAGGAACACCGAUGGCGAAGGCAGCCCCCUGGGUUAACACUGACGCUCAUGCACGAAAGCGUGGGGAGCAAACAGGA